Molecule: ribosomal RNA, 254 nt
Filed under: uncultured bacterium
Lineage: Bacteria
Description: partial 16S ribosomal RNA
Rfam family: Bacterial small subunit ribosomal RNA
Source: RNAcentral
UACGUAGGGUGCAAGCGUUGUCCGGAAUUAUUGGGCGUAAAGAGCUCGUAGGCGGUUUGUCGCGUCGAAUGUGAAAACCCGGGGCUCAACCCCGGGCCUGCAUUCGAUACGGGCAGACUAGAGUUCGGUAGGGGGAGUCUGGAAUUCCUGGUGUAGCGGUGAAAUGCGCAGAUAUCAGGAGGAACACCGGUGGCGAAGGCGGGACUCUGGGCCGAUACUGACGCUGAGGAGCGAAAGCAUGGGGAGCAAACAGG